AAAAACACAAUGAUUAGGAGUAGUAAGGACUCAUUUAUUGUUCAGAGAGCUGCUGUUUGGUGAAAGGCAGUCAAUAAAUUCCCCAACUCGCCUAUGAGUGGUUAGACUGAUAUAGGUCUAAACGGCUUACUCCCGUCAUGAAGUAAUCGAGAAGGUUGUUCUAAGUUAUUUGUUAGAACAAACCAAGAAGAGUGGUACCGCGUUAGGAUAAUCCUGUCGUCUCUUUA
Molecule: non-coding RNA, 227 nt
Filed under: Anaerobacillus sp.
Lineage: Bacteria; Bacillati; Bacillota; Bacilli; Caryophanales; Bacillaceae
Description: T-box sequence
Rfam family: T-box leader
About the family: Uncharged tRNA acts as the effector for transcription antitermination of genes in the T-box leader family. T-boxes are found upstream of many aminoacyl-tRNA synthetase genes and some amino acid biosynthetic genes usually in Gram-positive bacteria. The anticodon of a specific tRNA base pairs to a specifier sequence within the T-box motif, and the NCCA acceptor tail of the tRNA base pairs to a conserved bulge in the T-box antiterminator hairpin.
Source: RNAcentral